GCUGGCUUCACCAGCAAAUACACUAAAAUUGGAAUGAUACAGAGAUGACUACCAUGGCCCCUGUACAAGGAUGAUACGCAAAAGAAUGUCACCAUUCACAAAAUU
Molecule: small nuclear RNA, 105 nt
Organism: Ochotona curzoniae (black-lipped pika)
Lineage: Eukaryota; Metazoa; Chordata; Mammalia; Lagomorpha; Ochotonidae
Source: RefSeq, a predicted model, not a curated record